This 228-nucleotide long non-coding RNA is filed under the name Vulpes vulpes (red fox). Its description in RNAcentral is "lncRNA (ENSVVUG00000024091.1)". Lineage: Eukaryota; Metazoa; Chordata; Mammalia; Carnivora; Canidae. The record is from RNAcentral.
GGAGCAGCAGGCUUUUGCUGAGCAGAGAGUCUGAUGCAGGACUCAAAUGCAGGAUGCUGGGAUCAUGAUCUGAGCUGAAGGCAGAUGCUCAAGCAAAGCGUUCUCUCCAGAGUGAUCUUUCAAAAGUUCUCCUAUGUCACAGCAAGACAGUCAGCAGACCCAGUGCCACCAGCCAGUCUUGCUCCAUCUUUUGAAAUGGAUACUGGAUGAGCAUGAAGUGCUCCAGGU